AUACGGAGGGUGCAAGCGUUAAUCGGAAUUACUGGGCGUAAGGCGUACGUAGGCGGUUAUUUAAGUCAGAUGUGAAAGCCCCGGGCUUAACUUGGGAACUGCAUUUGAAACUGGGUAACUAGAGUUUAGUAGAGGGGAGUGGAAUUUCAGGUGUAGCGGUGAAAUGCGUAGAGAUCUGAAGGAACACCAGUGGCGAAGGCGACUCCCUGGACUAAAACUGACGCUGAGGUACGAAAGCGUGGGUAGCAAACAGGAUUAGAAACCCUAGUAGUCC
This 274-nucleotide ribosomal RNA is filed under the name uncultured bacterium. Its description in RNAcentral is "partial 16S ribosomal RNA". It matches the Rfam family "Bacterial small subunit ribosomal RNA", at positions 523 to 796 of the family's 1533-position model. The record is from RNAcentral.